ACUGGGGAUCUAGAGUGUGCGAGAGGUAUGCGGAAUGCGUGGUGUAGCGGUGAAAUGCAUAGAUAUCACGCAGAACCCCGAUUGCGAAGGCAGCAUACCGGUGCACAACUGACGCUGAGGCACGAAAGCGUGGGUAUCGAACAGGAUUAGAUACCCUGGUAGUCCACGCAGUAAACGAUGAAUGCUAACUGUCCGGUGCGAGUGAGCGCUGGGCGGUACAGCGAAAGCGUUAAGCAUUCCACCUGGGGAGUACGCCGGCAACGGUGAAACUCAAAGGAAUUGACGGGGGCCCGCACAAGCGGAGGAACAUGUGGUUUAAUUCGAUGAUACGCGAGGAACCUUACCCGGGCUCAAACGCAGGCUGACGGGUCCCGAAAGGGGCCUUUCUUCGGACAUUCUGCGAGGUGCUGCAUGGUUGUCGUCAGCUCGUGCCGUGAGGUGUCGGCUUAAGUGCCAUAACGAGCGCAACCCCUGUCCACAGUUGCCAGCAGGUAAAGCUGGGGACUCUGUGGAGACUGCCGGCGCAAGCUGCGAGGAAGGCGGGGAUGACGUCAAAUCAGCACGGCCCUUACGUCCGGGGCGACACACGUGUUACAAUGGCAGGUACAGCGGGAUGCCACGGGGCGACCCGGCGCUGAACCCGAAAACCUGUCUCAGUUCGGAUUGGAGUCUGCAACCCGACUCCAUGAAGCUGGAUUCGCUAGUAAUCGCGGAUCAGAAUGCCGCGGUGAAUACGUUCCCGGGUCUUGUACACACCGCCCGUCACACCAUGGGAGUCGGAAAUGCCCGAAGUCGGUGACCCAACCGAAAGGGGGGAGCCGCCGAAGGCAGGUCGGAUAACUGGGGUGAAGUCGUAACAAGGUAACCGUAA
RNAcentral lists this ribosomal RNA (871 nucleotides) under uncultured bacterium. RNAcentral describes it as "bacterial SSU rRNA". It matches the Rfam family "Bacterial small subunit ribosomal RNA", at positions 632 to 1505 of the family's 1533-position model. The record is from RNAcentral.